This is a long non-coding RNA of Suricata suricatta (meerkat), 946 nucleotides long. RefSeq lists it as uncharacterized. The record is from RefSeq and is a predicted model, not a curated record. NCBI's taxonomy places the organism in Eukaryota, Metazoa, Chordata, Mammalia, Carnivora, Herpestidae. The transcript has 4 exons.
ACAAACAAGCAGAGCACAGAGGAUUUUGAGGGCAGUGAAACUAUUCUGUUUGACACAGUAACUGGUGGAUGCCUUUGUCCACACCCAAAGAACGUGAACCCUAAUGUCAACCAUGCACUCUGGUGAUUGUCAUGUGUCAGUGUAGGUCCAUCAGUUGUAACCAAUGGACCACCGUCGUGAGGGAUGCUGAUGGAGAGCCAGGGCUGGUGGUUGCAGCGCGGAAGGCGGUAGGAGUCGUUGGUUUUACAGGCGGUGCUGUGCCUUUGGACUCGGAACAGGUGAAGAAUCUGGCCAGGCAGUUCUGACUUCGCCGCCCUCCCGUGGCUGCCGUAACUCGGGGACUCGCUGGGCUGGACGUGCCAGCUGGGCUGCUCAUGUGGCAGACAGGACGACCAAUGCCGGCACUCAGCAGCUGAGCUGCACUGUCGGUGGAAGCACUAGGGUGACCUCUCCAAAAGAGGGGGUCUCGGGGUGGCCGGGCUUGUCACAGAAGGGCUCAGCACUCCGCAUGUGUCUCUACAUGCAUGGGUCACCACAUGGCCUCUUCUGAGCCAGGCCUGGCAGUCCCACAGGUCACUGCUGUCACACUCCACUGGCUGAAGCAGUCCUGGCUCUGCCCAGAUUCAAGGGUCACAUGCCUUGACAGUGUGAGUGGAAAGUCAUACUGCAGAAGCGCAAACAGGCUGGGAGGCAAAGGCGGAGCCACCCCUGGGAAACGCCAUUCAUCACACCUCACUAGGCUGAUGACACAGUUUUAUCUCAGGAAGCCAUUAACGGCGUGCCUCUACUUCCCAAACUGAUGUUCUCAUUGUUGAAAUGCCCAGACAUGGAAGCCAACGUUCAUUCCAGUGACAAGUUGCCCGUUCCAAAAUCACACUGAAGACAGUGGGAAAAUCCACUCCCUGGUCAGGAUCUCAACGUUCACAAAACUGAGCCCCAUGGUGGG